AUUGAACGCUGGCGGCAGGCUUAACACAUGCAAGUCGAACGGUAACAGGAAGGAAGCUUGCUUUCUUUGCUGACGAGUGGCGGACGGGUGAGUAAUGCUUGGGAAUCUGCCUUAUGGAGGGGGAUAACUACGGGAAACUGUAGCUAAUACCGCGUAAUAUCUACGGAUUAAAGUGUGGGACCUUCGGGCCACAUGCCAUAAGAUGAGCCCAAGUGAGAUUAGGUAGUUGGUGAGGUAAAGGCUCACCAAGCUGACGAUCUCUAGCUGGUUUGAGAGGAUGACCAGCCACACUGGAACUGAGACACGGUCCAGACUCCUACGGGAGGCAGCAGUGGGGAAUAUUGCACAAUGGGCGCAAGCCUGAUGCAGCCAUGCCGCGUGAAUGAAGAAGGCUUUCGGGUUGUAAAGUUCUUUCAGCGAUGAGGAAGGUUGUAUAUCUAAUAGGUAUGCAAAUUGACGUUAGUCGCAGAAGAAGCACCGGCUAACUCCGUGCCAGCAGCCGCGGUAAUACGGAGGGUGCGAGCGUUAAUCGGAAUAACUGGGCGUAAAGGGCACGCAGGCGGUUGUCUAAGUCAGAUGUGAAAGCCCCGAGCUUAACUUGGGAAUUGCAUUUGAGACUGGGCGACUAGAGUCCUCUAGGGAGGGGUAGAAUUCCACGUGUAGCGGUGAAAUGCGUAGAGAUGUGGAGGAAUACCGAAGGCGAAGGCAGCCCCUUGGAGAGAGACUGACGCUGAGUGCGAAAGCGUGGGUAGCAAACAGG
This 760-nucleotide ribosomal RNA is filed under the name uncultured bacterium. RNAcentral's name for it is "bacterial SSU rRNA". It matches the Rfam family "Bacterial small subunit ribosomal RNA", at positions 28 to 776 of the family's 1533-position model. The record is from RNAcentral.